RNAcentral lists this ribosomal RNA (256 nucleotides) under uncultured Gardnerella sp. RNAcentral describes it as "partial 16S ribosomal RNA". It matches the Rfam family "Bacterial small subunit ribosomal RNA", at positions 99 to 355 of the family's 1533-position model. Lineage: Bacteria; Bacillati; Actinomycetota; Actinomycetes; Bifidobacteriales; Bifidobacteriaceae. The record is from RNAcentral.
CGAACGGGUGAGUAAUGCGUGACCAACCUGCCCCAUGCUCCAGAAUAGCUCUUGGAAACGGGUGGUAAUGCUGGAUGCUCCAACUUGACGCAUGUCUUGUUGGGAAAGUGUUUAGUGGCAUGGGAUGGGGUCGCGUCCUAUCAGCUUGUAGGCGGGGUAAUGGCCCACCUAGGCUUCGACGGGUAGCCGGCCUGAGGGGGCGGACGGCCACAUUGGGACUGAGAUACGGCCCAGACUCCUACGGGAGGCAGCAGCC